GACGAACGCUGGCGGCAUGCCUAAUACAUGCAAGUCGAACGCACAGUUUAUACCGUAGCUUGCUACACCAUAGACUGUGAGUUGCGAACGGGUGAGUAACGCGUAGGUAACCUGCCUGGUAGCGGGGGAUAACUAUUGGAAACGAUAGCUAAUACCUCAUAAUAUUAAUUAUUGCAUGAUAAUUAAUUGAAAGGUGCAAUUGCACCACUACCAGAUGGACCUGCGUUGUAUUAGCUAGUAGGUGAGGUAACGGCUCACCUAGGCGACGAUACAUAGCCGAACUGAGAGGGUGGUCGGCCACACUGGGACUGAGACACGGCCCAGACUGCUACAGGAAGGAGCAGUAGGGAAACUUGGGCAAUAGACGAAAGUCUGACCGAGCAACGCCGCGUGAGUGAAGAAGGGUGUCGGGUCGUAAAGAUCUGUUGUAAGAGAAGAAAGGGUGUGAGAGUGGAAAGUUCACAGUGUGACGGUAUCUAACCAGAAAGGGACGGCUAACUACGUG
RNAcentral lists this ribosomal RNA (505 nucleotides) under uncultured bacterium. RNAcentral's name for it is "partial 16S ribosomal RNA". It matches the Rfam family "Bacterial small subunit ribosomal RNA", at positions 28 to 507 of the family's 1533-position model. The record is from RNAcentral.